Balaenoptera acutorostrata (minke whale) is the source of this 335-nucleotide long non-coding RNA. RefSeq lists it as uncharacterized. The transcript has 3 exons. The record is from RefSeq and is a predicted model, not a curated record. Lineage: Eukaryota; Metazoa; Chordata; Mammalia; Artiodactyla; Balaenopteridae.
GGUAGACAUGGACCAACAAGGGAGAGAUGAAAGCCACAUGUGGAUAGUGCUUACCAUAUCGGACAGUGCAGCCCUAGAGGAAAGAGACUACACGAAGAGAGAAGCCACAUGGAAGAGAACUGAGCUGUCCCAUUGACUGCUAGCACAAAGGCACCAGAUGUGUGAGGCCUCCAUCCCUAUGUGAAUCUAUCCAGCCCAUGUAGAACAAAGAUGAACAGCCGCUACACUUCCCAAGCUAGACACUUGGAAGCCGUCUUUCACCAACUAUAUACAUCCAUUUUAAAACCGCUUCUCUCCAUCCCUACUGCCAUUCUUUUAGUUUAAGCUCUCAUCAU